CGAAGUGUAAUGUACGAAUUAAUCAAAUUCAAGGAGCUCUCGUCCUGCAAUCUGCGAUAGAAAACUGAGAAGUCGAUAGAGAGAGAUGAAUCAAACGCUCACAGAGGUUUUGCAAUGGUUCGAUCGAUUUAGAGCCGCUAUGGUGCUCAAGGUCAGCUUACUCUUAUACUAUCCUCUCCAUAUUUAAAUACCUAAAUGUUAAGUAACAGAGUCUUAUAGUAGAUUAUAAUAGAAGAAGAGCUAGAGAGAGAAAGUAGAAUUCAAGAAGAAGGAAAUUGAUUAAUUUUUGAUGCCCCAUUAUACAGACUUCUUGCUUAUUUAACAAGCCUCCUCAAUACUGACUAAAAGACUGUAUUAUCCCUCAAGAACUGAAAAUAAUUACCGAGCUAGCCACAUAACAGUGCCACCUCCUUAAGAAGAUCCUUGUCCUCAAGGAUCAUACAAUCAAAAAUACUCAUACAGGAAUGCAGAUGAAAAAUAAUACUCAAGAAUUAACAAGAAGGUAACACAAUAGAGCAUAACAUAAACAUAUUCUAAUUCAAUUAAUCAAAGUUGAAUUUAGGAAAUUGUUGAGCCAACUUGUGUGCAUCCUCCCAAGUUGCAUCUUCUGGUGCAGUAUACAUCCAUUUAAUCAACACUUGUAUCACUGGUCUGUUAUUCUUCUUAAUCAUCCUUCUUUCCAAAACUUUUUCUGGUAAAAUCCUCAUCUCCCCUUCAUCUCUUACUAUUGGAAGCUUAGUUUGCACCACUGCUUGAUUUCCCAACUGCUUCUUUAGGAGAGAUACAUGGAACACAUGAUGUAUCUUAGAAUCUUCAGGUAACUCGAGUUUGUAAGCAACCUUGCCAAUUCUGGCCACUACCAAAUAAGGCCCAAAAUAUCUUGCAUCAAGUUUCAGAGAUCUCCUGACAACUACAGAAGUUUGCCUAUAAGGCUGCAGUUUAAGAUACACAUAGUCACCCACUUGGAACUCCCUUUCAGAUUUAUGUUGAUCCACCUGUUGUUUCAUUCUGUGUUGUGCCAAUUCUAAGUUUUCCUUGAGGACCUUCACCAACUAAUUGUGACUGUGGAAGAAAUCUUCCACAGCUGCUACAUUGGAAGUGGAUGCCACUGUUUCAGGUAACUGAGUAGGAGAAUAGACAUAUAAUGCCUCAAAAGGUGUCAUCUUAAUAGCAGAAUGGUAGCUAGUAUUGUACCAAUACUCAGCAAAGGGUAACCACUUAGUCCAUUGGUGAGCCUUACUACAAAUCAUGCAUUGUAGGUACUGCUCCAAACACUGGUUAAGCCUCUCACUCUGUCCAUCAAGAUGGUAUGCAGAGCUGUAACACAAUUUUGUUCCUAUGAUUUUAAACAAUUCCUUCCAAAAUGUGCUUAAAAAGAUCUUAUCCCUAUCAGACACAAUAGAGGAAGGACAACCAUGAAGAUUAUAUAUGUGAGUAAAGAACUGUUGUGCCAGCACUUGUGCUGUAAAUGGAUGACACAAAGGUAUGAAAUGACAAGAUUUGGUCAGUCUAUCAACUACCACCAUAAUGCUAUCCUUUCCCUUAGACCUUGGAAGGCCUAUAAAAUCCAUAGCAAUACCACUCCAAACUUGUGUAGGAAUUUGCAAAGGCCGCAAUAACCAGGUGAAACAACAUUUUCAGUCUUAACUUGUUGACAAACUUGACAUUCCUUAACCUAUUGUUGUACAUCAUCUAACAUAUUUGGCCAAGUAAAAAUCUGUUUCAGCCUUUUAUAAGUAGCUUGUUGUCCUGAAUGCCCUCCAAUCCUAGAAGAAUGGAACUCAACUAAUAAGUGUGGUUUUAAAUUCCCAUUCACCCCUAUAUAAAUCACUCCAUGCUUCCUUAAAACCCCAUUGUGGAAAGUGAAAGCAGGUCCAACAACAUUAGUAUCUAUUACACACUGAGCUAUGAGAUCUUGAGCAACUGUAUUCCCUUCAUAAGUUUCAGUAAUAUCUCUCAUCCAAGUAGGCACCAACCCCGAUAAUACAGAACAUUGUAAUUCCCUUUUAGGAACUCUUGAUAAUGCAUCAAUCACUAUAUUUUCCCUUCCUUUCUUAUAUUCAAUAGUGUAAUCUAACCCCAACAAUUUAUAUAACCAUUUCUGUUGAGCCACAAUUGUAAUCCUUUGCUCCAAAAAAUGUUUCAAGGAUUGAUGAUCAGUCCUGAUUAUGAAUUUAUUUUCAGAUAAAUAGGACCUCCACUUGUCAACUGCUACUACAAUACCUAAUAACUCCUUCUCAUAAGUCGAUAAUCCCAUUGUCCUAGGUCCCAAAGCCUUACUCAUGUAAGCAAUAGGCUUAUUAUUCUGGAGCAGAACAACUCCAAUGCCUGUGUUACUAGCAUCCGUCUCUACAACAAACUCUUUAGAAAAAUCAGGCAUAACUAAGACUGGAGUGGUGGAUAAUGCUCCCUUGAGUUGCUCAAAUGAACUAUUUGCACCCUCAUUCCACUGGAAUUUAACUUUUUGCAGCAAAUUUGUCAAUGGUUUAGCUAUUACUCCAUAUCCCUGUACAAAUUUUCUAUAAUACCCCGUGAGUCCCAAAAAUGCCCUCAAUUCCUUCACAGUUGUUGGCUUAGGCCAGUUAACCAUAGCUUCGACCUUACUUGGGUCAGCUGCCACUCCAGAACUAGAAACCACAUGGCCCAAAUACUCCACCUGAGUUUGCACAAAUGUACAUUUGGAGUACUUUGCAUAUAAUUGAUACUCCCUUAAUAAUAAGAAAACUUUUCUCAAAUGCUCCAUAUGUAGCUUCAAACUUUUGCUGUAUAUUAAUAUAUCAUCAAAGAAUAUUAACACACACUUCCUUAGUAAGUCAACAAACACAGUAUUCAUAAGGGUUUGAAAUGUAGCCGGGGCAUUAGUUAAGCCAUAAGGCAUUACCAAGAAUUCGUAAUGGCCACUAUGCGUUUUGAAAGUUGUUUUUUGUAUGUCAAUCUCAUUCAUUCUCACUUACAUAUAGGUAGCCCUUAAGUCAAUUUUGGAGAAAUAUAUUGCACCAUUGAGUUCAUCCAAUAACUCCUCUAUCACAGGAAUAAGGAACUUAUCUUUCUUAGUCAACUUAUUCAAAGACCUGUAAUCUAUACAAAAUCUCCAUGGUUCAUCUUUUUUCUUCACAAGUAACACUGGAGAUGCAAAUGGACUAGUACUAUGUCUAAUGAUACCAUUUGCUAACAUCUCUUUAACCAUUUUCUCAAUCUCAUUCUUUUGAACAUAAGGAUACCUGUAAGGUCUGGCAUUCACUGUGGCAGUUUCAUCUUUCAAUUUAAUGUGGUGGUCAUGAUUUCUGUGAGGAGGCAAAGUCUUGGGUUCGUGGAAAACAUCUCUGAACUCUGUGAGUAAUGAAGUAAUUAAUUGUUGGAUUUCUUGUGAAUUUCCUAUAUCUGUUCGUUUUGUUUCCUUCGCGGUGAUAACAAAUAAUUGACCUAUAAACCUCAAUGACUUCUUCCUAACCAACUUUUCUAGUCCUUUUGUUGAAAUCUGCUGCAACAUUGUUGUGUCAGUAGUUCCUUUAAUAGUGAUUUUCCUGCCUUUCCUUUGAAAAGUCAGCCUCAAUUUAUGGAAGUCAAAAGUCACAGAAUUGUACUUCUGCAUCUAAUCAACCCCUAAAACUGCAUCAUACCCUCCCAAGGGUAACAACCUCACCUCAUGCUCAAAUUCAUAACCCAUGCUCCAUUUAAAAGAUGAACAUUUUGCAUCACUUAUGACUUUUCCCCCAUCAGCCACUGUCACCAUGAGCUUAAGAGUAGGUUCCAAUUCACAACCUAAAAGAUCAGCAACUUUAGGAUCUAAAAAACUAUGAGUGCUCCCACUGUCAAUCAAUAUAGUAAGAGGUUUUUUUUAACAAAUCCUUUAACCCUUAAAGUUGUGUGAUUCACAUUUCCGUUUAAGGCUCUAACACAUAUUUCCAUGUCACUAGGAACUUCUUCAACAUAAUCUAGUUCUUCCUCUUCAAUAAUCUCAAGUAACUCCUCUGGUUCAACCACAUUCAGAUCCAACUGUAAUAAGUAAAUCAUCUGCCUUAUACAACGAUGACCAGGAACAAAUUUUUCAUCGCAAUUAUAACACAAUCCUUUGUCCCUCCGUUGUUGCAUUUCAACUGCAGUCAACCUCUUAAUAAGAAACUGAGUCCUACAUGAAUUGGAACUGGUAGAGGCAGAAUUGGACUUGUUAAUAUAAGAGUAAUUUUGUGGUCUGGAAUUAUAUGUGAAUGGUCUGGAAGGAAGAUUAGGUUUAGGCAAGAUAGCUAAUUGCUUCCCAUAAGUAUGAGUAGAAAUUGUUGGAUGUGGUAUAUGAACUGUUGCAACAAUUGUUGGUGUAGGAGCUACCGAACCUUGUGAAGCUACAGUUUGGAUAAUGUCUUCCUGCAUUUUAGCUAAGCUAAUAGCAUCUUUUAACAGUUUCACCAUACAUUUAAUUUCGAACUUUAACCCACUCACGAAAUUAGAUAGGAAAUAGUCAUCUGUGUAGUGCCUAUUUUGUACCAGUAAAAUAGACUUCAAUUUCUCAAAUUCCUUUUGAUAAGCACUCACAGUGGAAAGUUGCUUCAAGUUCUUAAACUCUUCCACUGGAUCUUUGUCAACAACAUCAUAUCUAGCCAAAAUUUCUCCUUUGAAUUUCGCCCAACCUAUAAGACCAACCUCUGCCUGAUAUCCUUGAAACUAGGAAUCUGCGCGACCUUCCAUAUAGAUUUGAGCCAGAGAAACGUUACUCUCACUGGACAUCGGAUUAAAAUUAAAGAAUUUCUCGCACUUCCGAAUCCAUGAACGCAAAUCAGUACCAUCAAACCGAGGAAAUUCAACUUUGAAAUUCUUCGGUAGCUCAACCAAAUUAACUCGUUGAGUUUCACCAUUCCGAAGAUCUGCUUCUGAGUUGUGGUCAUGCAGUUCAUCAUCUUCAGUCGUCUUGUUCAAAGCCAUGAGUAUCAAACGAAAAUUUCGCUGCAUCUCACCUUUCAAUUCCUCUACACCAGCGCCAUUUCCUCCAAUUGAUCCUCAAAUCCUCCUAUCCGGCCUCCCAUGGAGUCAAUUGAAGUCGUCAGAGCAUCGUUACUUUGCGCGAGAUCCUGAACCUUAUCAUCGAGUAAUUUCUGGUGUUUCUCUAUUUGAAAUAGACGAGUUCCCUCCGCCAUAGAAAUGGCCUCCAGGACACGAUGAAGCUCUGAUACCAAAUGUUAAGUAACAGAGUCUUAUAAUAGAAGAAGAGCAAGAGAGAGAAAGUAGAAUUUCAGAAGAAGGAAAUUGAUUAAUUUCUAAUGCCCCAUUAUACAGACUCCCUGCUUAUUUAACAAGCCUCCUCAAUACUGACUAAAAAAUUGUAUUAUCCCUCAAGAACUAAAAACAAUUACCGAAAUACCCUAUAGGCUAGCCACAUAACACUAAACUUGUUUUCCUUAGUCCCCUUUGCCAUGUCUCUGUGUCUUCAAAGAUUCUUUAUUUAAAAACCUAAACCUUUUUUCUUCCGUUUUAUGUCUCUGUGUUAAAAGGUACUUCUAUUUCGAAUUAUACAUUGAUAAACCAUGUUUUUUCCUUAUUCCUUGGUUGGCUGAAGUUCCAAGUAUGAAGUAUCUUGUAAUAUUUCAAAAUUUACUUCUCUUUAUUUUAUUUUUAUUAUUGGUUUAGAGGUCAGAAUUCUGUAAUGCAAUGGCUUGUUAACCAUAUGUGGAUUACGAUUCAUGGUCCGGAAAAGGAUUUCUAAUUACAUUUGGACUAUUACUCGUUAUAAUGUUUUUGAGGCAGAUUUGUUAUGAUUUAGGAACGUUAAGAACGUAUUACUAUCUUAAAGGCACUAUCUUUAUGGAAAAUACAUAAUCACAAAUAUAUUUUGUAAAAUAAGAAGUUUAAAAGAUUAAAUUGAGUAAUUGAACUCCAAAAAACUUCAUUGGUUGCAUCGAUAUGUGGGCAAUUGGAUAUAGAGGUCUAACUUAUGUUUGUCUAUCUGAUGAAAGUAACUGUUGAAUUAGACGUCACAAGAUGCAGUGUUGCACAUCUCAUUAAUGCAACACAUGACACUGGUUGGCAAAUGGCAACUAUUGACUUACUGGAACCAACUAUUAGUAUAGUGUUGGGAAUAUCCGUCCCGUAUAUUCUCAUUUGAAACCACAUCCUGACUCAAAAAUUUAACCUAUUAGGUUUAUGGUCCAUUAGAGCAUAUAUGUACUUAAUCUUUCUCUUUGUGUUUCGAUGUGGGACUUUACUAUCACGCGAUACCUCAACAAUCUCCUCCUUAACGUGUGAUCUCUCCAUCCACAUCGACACCAAGCUCCCCCUUGAACUUUAACCAUACUCAGCAUUAGCCCAUACGACCGACCCUCUUCGAUACACCAAGCUCUCCCUUGAACUUUAACUAUAUUCUUUUUAGCAUUAGCCCAUAUGGACUACCCUCUUCAAUAUCUCUUGCCAAGAGCCUCUACUUAGGCCACAUUAUUUCUGCAAUAUGAGUUUCAACAGAUCUUAACAAGAUUGCUUGCAUGAUUAAUUGGCCGGAACAAAAAAACUGUAAAAGCUCUCGGAGGAUUUUUGGGACUCACUGGGUACUACAGAAGAUUUAUAAAAAUUUAUGGAGAAAUUACCAGGCCAUUAACUAAACUUCUGUAGAAAGAUCAGUUUCAUUGGAAUUCUGAAGCUUCCACAGCUUUCCACAAAUUUAAGUUGACUAUGAGUUCCACUCCUGUAUUGGCUUUAUCUGAUUUUUCCCAACCUUUCAUUAUAAAGACUGAUGCUAGUUCUAAAGGAAUUGUGGCUGUGUUAAUGCAAGGAGGAAGACCAUUAGCUUUCUUGAGCAAGGCUUUGGCACCAAAACAUAUGGGUUUGUCUGGGUAUGAAAAAGUGAUUUUAGCAAUUAUACAAGCUGUGUCUCAAUCGAGAUCUUAUUUUCUUUGAACUCAUUUUAUUAUCAAAACAGGUCAUCAGAGCCUCAAGUUCUUUAUGGAACAAAGGCUAACUACAUUUUUGCAACAAAAGUGGCUGAGCAAGAUGUUGGGCUAUGACUAUGAAAUCACCUACAAAAAAGGUAUUAUCACUACUUAUGAAGGAGAUGAACACAUUCAGAAUGUAAUACAGCAG
RNAcentral lists this long non-coding RNA (7062 nucleotides) under Panax ginseng (ginseng). Its description in RNAcentral is "long non-coding RNA (PGIN_LNC013350)". The record is from RNAcentral. Lineage: Eukaryota; Viridiplantae; Streptophyta; Magnoliopsida; Apiales; Araliaceae.